GUGCCAGCAGCCGCGGUAAUACGGAGGGGGCUAGCGUUGUUCGGAAUUACUGGGCGUAAAGCGCACGUAGGCGGACUGGAAAGUUGGGGGUGAAAUCCCGGGGCUCAACCUCGGAACUGCCUUCAAAACUAUCAGUCUGGAGUUCGAGAGAGGUGAGUGGAAUUCCGAGUGUAGAGGUGAAAUUCGUAGAUAUUCGGAGGAACACCAGUGGCGAAGGCGGCUCACUGGCUCGAUACUGACGCUGAGGUGCGAAAGCGUGGGGAGCAAACAGGAUUAGAAACCCCUGUAGUCC
This 292-nucleotide ribosomal RNA is filed under the name uncultured prokaryote. Its description in RNAcentral is "partial 16S ribosomal RNA". It matches the Rfam family "Bacterial small subunit ribosomal RNA", at positions 505 to 796 of the family's 1533-position model. The record is from RNAcentral.